UGCCGCGUGAGUGAAGAAGGCCUUCGGGUUGUAAAGCUCUUUCGGCCGGGAAGAAAUCGCAUGGGUUAAUACCCUGUGCGGAUGACGGUACCGGCAUAAGAAGCACCGGCUAACUACGUGCCAGCAGCCGCGGUAAUACGUAGGGUGCGAGCGUUAAUCGGAAUUACUGGGCGUAAAGCGUGCGCAGGCGGUUUUGUAAGACAGGCGUGAAAUCCCCGGGCUCAACCUGGGAACUGCGCUUGUGACUGCAAGGCUAGAGUAUGGCAGAGGGGGGUGGAAUUCCACGUGUAGCAGUGAAAUGCGUAGAGAUGUGGAGGAACACCAAUGGCGAAGGCAGCUCCCUGGGCCAAUACUGACGCUCAUGCACGAAAGCGUGGGUAGCAAACAGGAUUAGAUACCCUGGUAGUCCACGCCCUAAACGAUGUCAACUAGGUGUUGGGGGGGUUAAACCAUUUAGUACCGGAGCUAACGCGUGAAGUUGACCGCCUGGGGAGUACGGCCGCAAGGUUAAAACUCAAAGGAAUUGACGGGGACCCGCACAAGCGGUGGAUGAUGUGGAUUAAUUCGAUGCAACGCGAAAAACCUUACCUACCCUUGACAUGUCCAGAAGCCUGAAGAGAUUUGGGUGUGCUCGAAAGAGAACUGGAACACAGGUGCUGCAUGGCUGUCGUCAGCUCGUGUCGUGAGAUGUUGGGUUAAGUCCCGCAACGAGCGCAACCCUUGUCAUUAGUUGCCAUCAUUUAGUUGGGCACUCUAAUGAGACUGCCGGUGACAAACCGGAGGAAGGUGGGGAUGACGUCAAGUCCUCAUGGCC
RNAcentral lists this ribosomal RNA (814 nucleotides) under uncultured bacterium. RNAcentral's name for it is "bacterial SSU rRNA". It matches the Rfam family "Bacterial small subunit ribosomal RNA", at positions 395 to 1200 of the family's 1533-position model. The record is from RNAcentral.